Molecule: ribosomal RNA, 481 nt
Filed under: uncultured bacterium
Lineage: Bacteria
Description: partial 16S ribosomal RNA
Rfam family: Bacterial small subunit ribosomal RNA
Source: RNAcentral
GAUGAACGCUGGCGGCGUGCCUAACACAUGCAAGUCGAGCGAAGCGCUUAAAUUAGAUUUCUUCGGAAUGACGAUUUUUGUGACUGAGCGGCGGACGGGUGAGUAACGCGUGGGUAACCUGCCUCAUACAGGGGGAUAACAGUUAGAAAUGACUGCUAAUACCGCAUAAGACCCCAGCUUCGCAUGAAGCGGUGGUAAAAACUCCGGUGGUAUGAGAUGGACCCGCGUCUGAUUAGCUAGUUGGUAAGGUAACGGCUUACCAAGGCGACGAUCAGUAGCCGAGCUGAGAGGGUGACCGGCCACAUUGGGACUGAGACACGGCCCAGAAUCCUACGGGAGGCAGCAGUGGGGAAUAUUGCACAAUGGGGGAAACCCUGAUGCAGCGACGCCGCGUGAAGGAUGAAGUAUUUCGGUAUGUAAACUUCUAUAAGCAGGGAAGAAAGUGACGGUACCUGACUAAGAAGCCCCGGCUAACUACGUG